RNAcentral lists this ribosomal RNA (253 nucleotides) under uncultured bacterium. Its description in RNAcentral is "partial 16S ribosomal RNA". It matches the Rfam family "Bacterial small subunit ribosomal RNA", at positions 524 to 776 of the family's 1533-position model. The record is from RNAcentral.
UACAGAGGGUGCGAGCGUUGUCCGGAAUCACUGGGCGUAAAGGGCGCGUAGGCGGCUCGACCAGUCUGGGGUGAAGGCUCAGCGCUCAACGCUGAGUCGGCCCCGGAUACUGUCGAGCUCGAGUUGACUAGAGGCCGAUGGAAUUCCGGGUGUAGCGGUGGAAUGCGUAGAGAUCCGGAAGAACACCGGUGGCGAAGGCGGUCGGCUGGGGUCAGACUGACGCUGAGGCGCGACAGCGUGGGGAGCAAACAGG